UCUCUGGGUCUCUGUGUGAGAAUCUCUGUGUGAGAGUCUCUGGGUCUCUGUGUGAGGGUCUCUGUGUGAGAGUCUCUGGGUCUCUGUGUGAGAGUCUCUGUGUGAGGGUCUCUGUGUGAGAGUAUCUGGGUCUCUGUGUGAGUCUGGUUCUGGUGCAAGAAACGCAAGAAUGAAGCCUGCCAAUGCCCCCCUCUGCUCCACGUGGCAUGGCACUGCAGCAACUCCCCGCCCGUGUGGGCCCGUGCAGUUGCACCGCCUGCACACGCGGCAGGAGACGUGGCCGCUGGUGGUGUGCCGCGUGCUCGUAGUUUUAGUGGACUGUAUCGUCCUUGCCCGCACAGGAAAUCAAAGUGGAGCCUGGGACGCGUCACGCAGCCGCCCCUACCUGCUGCCGGUGUGCGGACACGCGUCUCGUGUGGAGCAUGCCUGCAGGACAAAGGCACGCGCACGCGCGGGCUGCGAGUUUGUGUGCCCGACCUGCAAGGUCCCCGGCCUCCUACCUGCAGCCCGACGAAGCGCUUGGAAAUUUCCUACCCACGCUGAAGGAAAUGCUGGAGGAGCGAUUUGGUGGGAAACCUCGGCCGCUCUACCCUGAGCGGCCGCUCGCGCAGGGCGGCCGCGGCGCUGGUGUCUGGCACCUAUCUUGUCGAGGGCUCUGUACAGCACAAACCACUGCACCUGGGCCACGGCCCGAAUCCAAAGCCUCCGUUCUGACGGUCAGAUUCAGGUCUGUUCCCGUAGUCGAGUUCACGUUAAAAUUUAUGCUGGGCAAUGAGUUGAUUGAAACCUAGAGAUGUAAAAUAGCAGACAGGUCACUUCUGUCACCAGGCCUUUUAGCUGCGUUCCAACCAAGGCUUUACAUAUUUCCACACCUCCGAUUAGCACAGUUGGCUAUGUACGGUGCGAAAGAAGUUCAACAUAAAUAUUCAUAAGUUUGUUUACCCCAAGAAGACCUCAAGCUUUCACGACCAUUAUCCAUAAUCGAGGUUUUUGGGUUAGACGACGUAAAUAUGAAUGUGUCGUUAAACCCGCCACCGCCAACACAGCCAAUUACUGUAGUAAGGUUUGUCACGUAAUCAAAACGUGCUAAUUCGUUACUAGUUCAGCACACUGGUGUGUUCGACAGUAAACCCCCAACAUUUACAAUUCAAUACUCUUUGGUUCUUUUGGUAAAGUCACGUAGGUAUAAAAUAAAAUUUACAAUUCGAGUACGACGUUUUGUCAGUAAUUCCAACUCACAUCAACAGGCGAUAGCCAGGGUUGUUAAGAGCGAAGCAGGAGGAUUUCUCAAGAGAUAAAUGUGAUGUCUCACUUGUGGGGCAAUUAGGCCGAAGGCCGGGGGGGGGGGAGGUUAUAAAUGCAUAUAAAUUACAAUGGAUAUCCAAUAUCGGUUGGGUUAUUCAUAGGAUAAUCAACAGACAUACAUUCACAUUAUGCAUGCACACCAUGCAUAUCCAUCCUGCCGUUUUUGGUUGCAAGAAAGACGGGUUUUUUUUAUUCCAGCGUUCAGAUAGUUGCCCAGUACCAGUUACGUUGCCAUGGCGUGUUGUAGGCUGAAGCAUUGACGCUAGAGGAUGACCGAAACUGAAUUUCUGGUUUCGGCCCAAACCGAAACCAGACCGAAAGUUAAAUAUUGGCUUUUGGCCGAAACCGAAGCCGAAACCGAAAGUUGAACUUCACUUUCGGCCGAAACCGAAAGUUUAACUACACUUUCGACCGAGACCAAAACAGAAAGGUUUAUAACCAAAGUUACCGAACACAAGAUUUAUGAAAUACUAGCUUUACUACCCGGCUUCGCCCGGGACUUGGAUUCACCACGGCCAGCUGCCUUUGUCUCCCCAGUGGCGAUGUUGACACACCACUUACUCGUUUGAGGCUGAGUCGACCUAGGGGAGGCCCAGGACCAGUUCAAAUAAUCGUCACCGGCGGUGGCCAUGAGUGGGAAUUGAACUUUGGUCGUCGGGUUCGUAGCGCAGCGCGCGAAUCGCUACGCAGUCGCUGCCCCCCCCUACAUACACACAGGAUAAGGACAAAAAUCCACCAUGUAGCCUGUGAGACUGUAGGGGGCAAGUGCUGUUAGCGAGUACCUAUGAAGGCCGGCAUGGCACACGAGGGGGUGGGUGGCCAGCACCACGCCAUGUUCGUAGCGCUAAGCGCUACACAUGCGCGGGUGACAUGACAGAUGUGACGUCACAGCUCGCUUGCCGUGCAAAAUAUAUGCAUUAUUGCACCCCCCCCCCCCCAAAAAAAUAAUACCAAAGUGUAUGCAUGGUGUACAGUAUGGAAAGUACCCACAUGGCAAAUUUAAAGUUUGUUGCAUGUCGGGAAGUACGCUAAACAUUUUGAACAGACACAUUCACAAAUUUUCAUUUUUUAUAUAUAGGUCAUGAUGCAAUGCUACUUUAAUAAAAAAUGUAUCUAGAACUAAUCAUUCAGAGCCUGCAGUAAGAGUCGUUAAAUAUCAAAUCUUUAGGUGUUACUUGGUGAUUAUAUCUAAACAAACGAAUGUUGUAGUUAAGAAAUACCAGUUUUUCCGCAUUCUCGCCCAGCAGGUUGCUGUUUCUUGCAUCAGAAUCGACUUUAGUGAUUAACUGCUCCGUUUAUUAAGUUUAAUUUUCUACUUCACUCAGAUUCGUAAUUUUGUUAUCACUAAUUCGCUACGUAACUAUUAACUAACUGAAUAACAAUAUUGUCAGAUUUCAAUUUAAAGCUUUCGUGACUGCAGGGAUUCAUCUUCUUGGUUCUUUCGGUAAAGUCACAUAGAAGGGAAAUAAUAAAAUAAUAAAAAUAAAACAUAAUAAAAUAAUUCUCACGACGUUUCAGCCACAACGCAAGCAGCUGUCCUCAGGUGAAGAAUUCUUCAUUUUUUUAUUAUGUUUUAUUUUUAUUAUUUUAUUACUUCCCUUCUAAGUGACUUUACCGAAAGAACCAAGAAGAAUAUUGUCAGACUUCGAAUCUCUGUAUCAACACGCGUGUAGACUGAAGAGAACGCAACACAUAAGCCAAGGCGGGCAGGCGGCUGGAAACAGACAACAACGGCACUUUGUUGUCGUCCCGCCAAAGAGACUCCACCCACGGAUGCAAAAGCAGGCUGCCGUCUGUUGACAUUAACAGACCAUCGUUGCGGCUGUAACCUCGCUCCCAAGCUGCUGCUGAUGUGUUUUUGCAGCCUAUCGCAGGAUUGCCUAGCGCCGACUGACCGGCCGAUAGGCAGAGAGAUAAACGUAGCACUAGCGUUAUAUUCUAAAAAUAGAUCUUCGGUUGACCGAAAGUCAAUAUCAGGUUCGGCCGAAAUCGAAAGUAAACCGAAAGUAAAAAAUGUACUUUCGGCCGAAACCGAACGUAUGUCGAAAGUGGCCAUUUGCCAACUUUCGGCACCGAAACCGAAUUUCGGUCGGCCUUUACUUUACGCAUCACCUCUGUGCGACCGACUGGGGAUCGCAGCAACUUGAAAAGGUGAUCAAAUGUACAAGAGGGGUUGGUAUGAAUCCUAUAGCUAUUUGGGACUUAGCUUGGAAAAACAAAACCAAGCAUGUGUUUAUCAAAGGAUUAUUCAAUAUUGGGCCAAAACAGGAUUGUUGAUUACAGUAGACUCUCCAUUUUCCACACUAAUGACCGGGAGGAUGGCCACGGCUAAUUCAAAAUCGUGGAUAAUCCCAAAUAUUCAUCUUCCGUGGAUCUCUAUGCCAAAAACCACUAAAGUAUAGUGGUAUAAGUUAUGUUUAAGUUAAGAAAAUUGAGUUGGUUAAUGAAUUAAACUAAAAUUGUAGAACUCACGAUAGAUCGAUGUGCGUGCUCAAUGAUAACAAUUUCCUGCUUCCGCGCAGACGACUCGGCCCACAAAGGGGACAGCAGCAGAGCCACGUCAAUCAACAUCAAUCAUUGCAAUGGACAAUUUUACGUGAUUGCAUUUACUGAUCUGACCGAGGUGGUGGCACGUGCCUGUAAACUCAUGGGGCUGACAGGUGGCAGUAUAGAAAGUUGGGGCACGUGACUUGUCUGUGCGGCCCUGUGAAUGUUGUCCCCUUGUGCUCGUGGGCUUUCGCUCAUUACUCAGUGCUGCAAAGCAGUGGCAAUGGGAGCCAAGUACAGUAGACUCUCGAUUGUUCGCGCUAAUUAGGGGAGGACGGCUGCACUAAGACCCAUAGAAUCAUACACAGACACACAGCCUCACAGCCUCACACAGACACCCAUUGACUCACACAGAAACCCAAAGACUCACGCAGGAACAAUAUACUUGCACAAUGACCCUUAGAAUCUCACACAGACACACAGCCUCACACAGACACCCAUUGACUCGCACAGAAACCCAAAGACUCGCACAGAAACAAUAUACUUGCACAAAGACCCAUAGACUAACACAGCGACGCAUAGACUCACACAGAGACCCAUACACUCACAUAGGGACAAUAUACUUGCACACAGACACAGACACCGAGACCCAAUGACACACACAGAGAAAAAAAUCCCACAGAGACCCAUAGACUCACACAGAUACCCAUAGACUCACACAGAGACCCAUAACCUCACACAUAGACCCAUACACCCACACAUAGACCCAUACACCCACACAGAGACCUAUAGACUCAAACAUAUACCCAUAGACACACACAGAGACCCAUAGACUCACACAGAGACCCAUAAACUCACACAAAGACUAUACUUGCCCAAAGACCCAUAGAAUCACAGGAAGACACAUUGGCAAACACAGAGACACAGACUCGCACAGAGACACAGACACCCAUUGACUCACACAAAUACCCAAAGACUCACACAGGGACAAUAUACUUGCAAAUAGACCCAUGGAAUCAAAAACCCAUAGACUCACACAGAAACAAUAUACUUUCACAAAAAACCAAUUGACUCACACAGAGACCCAUAGACUCACACAGAAACAAUAUACUUUCACAAAAACCCAUUGAAUAACACAGAGACACAAAUACACACACAGACCCAUGGACACACACAGGGACAAUAUACUUACAAAAAGACCCAUAGAAUCGCACAGGGACAUUAACUCACACAGAGACAAUAGACUCACAAAGGGACAAUAUACUUGCACAAAGACCCAUAGAAUCAUACACAGACACACAGCCUCACACAGACACCCAUUGACUCACACAGAAACAAUAUACUUUCACAAAAACCCAUCGAAUCACACAGAGACACAGACAUACAUCGACUCAUAGAUUCACACAGGGACAAUAUACUUGCACAAAGACCCAUAUAAUCACAUAGAGACCCAUAGACUCACACACAGACACACAGCCUCACACAGACACCCAUUGACUCACACAGAAACCCAAAUACUCACUCACUGGGACAAUAUACUUGCAAAUAGACCCACAAAAUAUCACACAGACACACAGCCUCACACAGACACCCAUAGACUCACACAGAUACCCAUAGACUCACACAGAGACCCAUAACCUCACACAUAGACCCAUACACCCACACAUAGACCCAUACACCCACACAGAGACCCAUAGACUCAAACAUAUACCUGUGGGGGCCGUUGGCCCCCGGGGUCCCUCCCGCCUGCAUCCCCUAUUCCAUUUACGUUACCCCACCUCCUUAUUUACCCGCUACGGUUUCGCCGGCAUUCGAACACGACGCCCCUACUGUUACAGCCUCGCGCCGCGCUCCCACGCUGCGAGCAUACGUGCGCACAGCAUCAUCAAUCAGACGGCACACUCCCCCUCUUUACACCGCUACGUACAGCUCUCGCACGCUGCGAGCGUGUGCCCGUCUAUAGCCCUGUGCGGCACUCGCCUCCACGUCGAAUAACCACGUUACCAAUGCGCAUCCGUAUCCGACACAUAACGAACGUAUGCGCACUCACGCAUACAGCUCCCCGCGGCACUCCCUCACCACUGAAUACUCGCGUUAUGAUCGCGCACCUGUAUCACACACGGAGUGAACACACGCGACACCCACUCUCGCGCCACUCUGCGCAGCGCUCCCCCGAGGCGAGCCGCAGCACUACACUCACCCCUGACUACUCGCGUUAUGAUCGCGCACCUGUAUCGCACACGGGGUGGACGCACGCACACACACGCAGCUCCCCACGCGACACACUGCUCAACAAGAUCACGCGAGACCACGCUUCGCUAUUAAUGAUUUAUUAUCUGCUACCUGCGAAUUAGAUGUUAAAUCAGUGAGUCGACGAGGCUGGCCUACGCUGAUACCUUUAUACCUAUUCCCGAUUUAUCUGCUAUGAUUCUAAUUCACCUUCUUACUCACUGUUAGAAGUAUUCGGCGUCCUGUGGCUUUUCCUCUAUGCCGUCGCGACACGUCACGCGGACGUCCGGAGGGCAGAGCUGGGAGCCAACUUGCACGCGUGCCUCUUGAAGAGAAGUGAGAGCCUCUCCCUUGCUGCGAUCCCUUUUAUCCUCUGUCCCGUACUCCCAAAGGCGCUCCGCUCAUGAGCGGCGCAUAUGCUAAUUAAUCCUCUGUCCGCGCGGCGUAAACUCUAAACAAUCGCUCGCGCACCUCCUGCACGCGCACGGCGGCUCCGCAGCGCCCCUGACACGCCAAUCAAUGUCCUGCCCGCGCGGCGCAAACUCCAAACAAUGGCUCGCGCACCUCUUGCACGCGCACGGCGGCUCCGCGGCGCCUCCACGGUGCUUUUAAAUGCUAAUCAGUGUGCGGCGUGCGCGGCGUAAAUCCCAAUUAAUCCCUUACCCUCCCUAACAAUGGGGCCUGCGCGCUCAAGCGCAACCAUCCCAACCUUCCGUGACUAUGCGCAAGAGCCCCUGCGGUCCUGCUACUCAUGCUAUCCCGUCCUUCCCCUGCUUGUCUCGUCGACCCGUGGGGGUGUGUGUGGGGGGAAAUGCGCCUCAACCGCGGUGGCCGAAUGCCCCACGCCGCGACCACACCACACUAAGGCCAGUCGCAGCGCCGCGGCGCAACGUAGCACGGGGGAGGUCGUCCAAUUCCCUGAUCGCCGGAAACCGUGAGAGUUAAUCCCGAUAAGGGUUUCUCGGAUAAAAACCGGCCGAUCAGGUGAUCUCCCCUUCCAGCUCUAUGGGAGGGGGAAAAUGCGUGCGGGUGUGUUCAUGUGAGGUGAGGUGGGGGGGACGCGGGGUCGGCUCCGUUGCUUGGUGGUGGCGAGGUCGGGGAUUGGGCGCCUCCCGAACGGCUUCGUGGCGGCGGCAUCACAUACCCAUAGACACACAGAGACCCAUAGACUCACACAGAGACCCAUAGCUCACACAAAGACUAUACUUGCCCAAAGACCCAUAGAAUCACAGGAAGACACAUUGGCAAACACAGAGACACAGACUCGCACAGAGACACAGACACCCAUUGACUCACACAAAUACCCAUCGAAACACAUAGACAAUAUACUUGCAAAUAGACCCAUAGAAUCUCACACAACCACACAGCCUCACACAGACACCCAUUGACUCGCACAAAGACCCAUAGACUCACACAGAAACAAUAUACUUUCACAAAAACUCAUUGAAUAACACAGAGACACAAAUACACACACAGAGACCCAUGGACACACACAGGGACAAUAUACUUACAAAAAGACCCAUAGAAUCGCACAGGGACAUUAACUCACACAGAGACAAUAGACUCACAAAGGGACAAUAUACUUGCACAAAGACCCAUAGAAUCAUACACAGACACACAGCCUCACACAGAGACCCAUAGACUCACACAGAAACAAUAUACUUUCACAAAGACCCAUUGAAUCACACAGAGACACAGACAUACAUCGACUCAUAGAUUCACACAGGGACAAUAUACUUGCACAAAGACCCAUAUAAUCACAGAGACCCAUAGACUCACAGAGACCCAUAAACUCACACAAAGACAAUAUACUUGCACUAAGACCCAUAGACUCACACACAGACACACAGCCUCACACAGACACCCAUUGACUCACACAGAAACCCAAAUACUCACUGGGACAAUAUACUUGCAAAUAGACCCAUAAAAUAUCACACAGACACACAGCCUCACACAGACACCCAUAGACUCACACAGACACCCAUAGACUCACACAGAGACCCAUAACCUCACACAAAGACCCAUAGACUCACACAGAAACAAUAUACUUUCACAAAAACCCAUUGAAUAACACAGAGACACAAAUACACACACAGACCCAUGGACACACACAGGGACAAUAUACUUACAAAAAGACCCAUAGAAUCGCACAGACAUUAACUCACAGAGACAAUAGACUCACAAAGGGACAAUAUACUUGCACAAAGACCCAUAGAAUCAUACACAGACACACAGCCUCACACAGACACCCAUUGACUCACACAGAAACCCAUAGACUCACACAGAAACAAUAUACUUUCACAAAGACCCAUUGAAUCACACAGAGACACAGACAUACAUCGACUCAUAGAUUCACACAGGGAUAAUAUACUUGCACAAAGACCCAUAUAAUCACAUAUAGAUACCCAUAGACUCACACAGAGACCCAUAAACUCACACAAAGACAAUAUACUUGCACUAAGACACAGACUCACACACAGACACACAGCCUCACACAGACACCCAUUGACUCACACAGAAACCCAAAUACUCACUCACUGGGACAAUAUACUUGCAAAUAGACCCAUAAAAUCUCACACAGACACAGCCUCACACAGACACCCAUUGACUCACACAAAGACCCAUAGACUCACACAGAAACAAUAUACUUUCACAAAAACCCAUUGACUCACACAGAAACCCAUAGCCUCACACAGAAACAAUAUACUUUCAGAAAAAAACCCAUUGAAUCACACAGACACAUAGACAUACACACAGACCCAUAGACUCACACAGGGACAAUUUACUUGCACAUUGUCCCAUAGAAUCACACAGAGACACAUAGACACACACAGAGACCCAUAGACUCGCACAGGGACAAUUUACUUGUACUUUUCAAAUAUACUGCCACCACCUCCUCUUGUUUGCCCGUCUCAUCAACAUAUAUUCAAUCCUUAAAUUUCUAUUAGGCUAGGGAAUUAUACGUGAGGUAAGCCAUGUUUCAGACAGACAGAAGAUGUCUGGAUAAAGAUGAUUGAAUUCAAUCUUGAAUUGCUCAAAUUUUGCUUUCUGGCCUCUAAUAUUGAUGUGGGCAAUGCCAACACCCUGUCGGUAUUUUAAAUCUAUUGAGUUACAUGGUGAGUGAUGGGGAAGGUGUGGCACUAAUGCAACCAGGAUUGGUUUGAACACCCAACAUAAUCAACAAUAUAAACAUUGAUUGUUUUAGAAUGUAUUUUCUACUAGAGUGCCAUCCUAAAUGGCGUUUUCUGGCAUAUAGAGAGGUAUGUUUGUGAUUCAUAUUUAAGCUUCAUAUAACAGGAGGUUACGUAUGAAACAAAUAUGAAUUGUAGAAUAUUGAAGACUGCAAGAACAAAAUGAACAUAAUAUAGGAGAUGCAUUGUUUGAGAAAGUAUGUGGGUUUGUUGUGUCUGAUGAAUGAGGUCACAUUGUCAGAGAAUUUGAUGGGUUGGCUGACAAUGGGGUAAAAAGACAGCUGAUUUACUGGGUGGGAGACCAGCAGCAGUCUGCUCUACCGGUCCUCAACAGCCCAGUAGCAGCACAUACAGCAGCCAGGGGAGGACCUCUUUCGAGUGGGAGCUCAUCCCAGGGUCUUGACCGCGAUCUGACAGCUGAGCUCGGGUGGGUUGAAGAUGCGCAUGAGGUCCCCAAGCUGGUGGAGCGGCACGCCGCCCAUCCAGCUGUAGUGCCAUAGAUGGGCCACACUUACCAGCAGUGGUGGACAGGGCCCAUCUGCAGGUAGCUCGAACCCCCAGGGGAGGGGCCACUGUACCAGCCCAAGAGGGGCGGGGCUUGCUGGGGGCUCUCGGAUCCUAGACAGCUAAGCCCCUUGGCGCCACCAAUGGGGGGGGGCUGUGUGUGCUCUGUGGGGUAUCUAGGGGCACACACAAUCCCACCCCUCGAUGGGCAAGAGGCAUAAAAGGGCCGCUCCCUGGUCGAUCGGGGCCAGUCGCAGCUCAAGUCCCAAGACCAGCCAGCUUAGGACCCUGGACCCCCUCGUCCCGCUUGUCCUUGUAAGGGCCGGGACGCUGUGCGGGCCAGUGGUGGGACUCUGGGACUCCCGGCUCUACGUCCUUGCAAGGGCGAGUUCCGAGGAAGCCAGAGUCUAGACCCGCACCUUGGCUGGGUCGGGUCAGGUAGCCUCCCCUCGGGUAAUUGUAGCCGGAGGACCCCAGAGCGUAGCUAGAGUCAGGUACGCUAAGAGUAGGCUGUGUCGCUAGGCUGUGUCGCUAGGCUGUGUCGCUGGCUGUGUACCUAGGCUGUGUACCUAGGCCGUGUACCUAGGCCGUGUACCUAGGCCGUGUACCUAGGCCGUGUACCUAGGCCGUGUACCUAGGCCGUGUACCUAGGCUGUAACAGAGUAUCAGGACUGUUGGAGUGUUGUAUUAUAAUAAAGAAGUUACCUCUACAAGUGUCUCCGGAACCCAUUACACAGCUGCUGCUGGAUAACUGGAUGCGCAUCUUGGCCGCCAGCUGCUCGGCCUCACUGCGUGUUCGGCACAACAGCGCCUCUACGCUGAAGCCAUUGUUAAGCAGCAGUGACACGAGCAGCCGGGCCGUGAGCCCCAUGUUGAACACCCCCCACAUUUGGGCAGCCUGGCUCCCUCGCUUUGUCUCUCCCAGCUCCUCAUCCUGGUCCCAAGCUUGAGUCUCUCCCAGGGGUCCCAGGUGAUGGUGAUGACUGGUGGUGCUGGUUACUCUUAUUGGUGGUGACUGGUGGGGGUGAUUGGUAGUGAAGAUGACUGGUGGUGAUAGUGACUUCGUGGUGACUGAUGGUUACUAUUGAUGGUGGUGGCUGAUGGUUGUGCUAGCGGUAGUGUAGAGGUUAACGCGCUGUGCAACAUAUGUAUCGAUCCGAAUUCGAUUUCUGCUCAUGGCCAACGAGAGUGACGAUUAUCUUAACUGUUCCUGGGCCUCCCCGACGUCGACUCAGCCUCCAAUGAGUAUGUGGUGUGGUGUGUAAACAUCUCCACUGGGGAGAAAAAUGCUGCCAGGCGUGUUGCUGGCCACCUAACGUCGUGUACUGUGCCGGCAUUAAUAGGUGAUCACUAACAGCACUUGCCUCAACAGUCUGUUAGUUAAGUAUAUACGGGGGAUCUUUUUUUAUAUGAUGAUGAGCAUGAUGGUGGUGAUGUCUAAUAGUGCUCCAGUGUGAUGAUGGUGAUGACUGUAACAUAGUGAUUGAGAUGAUGAUGCAAUGGUGGUGGUGGUUGGAGGUGACUGAUGAAAGUUGCUGUUGUGAUGGACCUGUCUCCUUGUCACACCUCUCUACUCAAACUUACUCACCUGGGUCUGUCUCCUUAUCACACUCACCUUUACUUAUGUAAUAAAGGUCGUGGAAGCGACUUCUGGAAUCCGGUCUUUAUUUGUCUUUCGUUCACAACACUCCCAUCUUACUCCUUCACGCUGCUGACAGACAGCGUGAGAGGGAGAGAGAGAGACGCGCGCGGCCACGUGGCAGCCUGGACCCCGCUCCAGCGUGGCCUCACCCUCCGUUCCAGAUCUGACCACGUGUUGUCCGUCUCCACCCCUUUUAAUACCCGGGUCACGUGGUACCUUUCCACCAAUCCUGGUUAACCUCUAUAGAAUCUUCUAGACUCCAUCGUACGCUCCCAGGACCACGCCCCUGACUCGUCCCCCCAUUGGCUGUGGCUAAAGCCAGCAGAACCAAUCCUCUACUUACAGAUGUCACCUUCCCAUUACGUCAGGGCCACGCCCCUAGACUUCCCCCCAUUGGCUAUGGGCCAGGACCGGCAGAGCCAAUCAUCGUAACGAGGUGUGAUCCAUCAGCAACCCGGAUAUAUCCUCACAUUACAAUUACACUCCUGUCUCUACCCAUACUCAUCUGGAUUUGUCUCUGUCACACCUCUCUACCACGUUCACUCACCCUGGGUCUGUCUCACUGUCACACUCACCUUUCUACCCACACUCACCUGGAUCUGUCUCACUGUCACACUCACUUCUUCCCACGCUCACCUUGGUCUGUCUUACUGUCACACUCACCUCUCUACCCACACUUAUCCGGGUCUGUCUCACAGUUGCUGCUCAUCCUCCCGUCGUCAACACUGAAGUAUUUCCGAACAACACGCGGUUCAACCCGAAAGCACUUCAGAGAGCUACAUGGGCUCAAACCCCAGGCCCUACACAGUCCUGUGAUGCGUCUUAUUUUUAUUAUCCAUAUUAUGUGUGGCAAAGGCAUGUGGCAGACUAAAAAAUAUAACACAAGGCUGUCCAUACAGGGUGUUAGGCCUGGGGCAAAUCACAGUGUGGGCCCCCCGACGCCUUCAAACUCAACCGGAAGUUUUACAUCUGACUCCUCU
Molecule: long non-coding RNA, 12338 nt
Organism: Lethenteron reissneri (Far Eastern brook lamprey)
Lineage: Eukaryota; Metazoa; Chordata; Hyperoartia; Petromyzontiformes; Petromyzontidae
Source: RefSeq, a predicted model, not a curated record